This 393-nucleotide ribosomal RNA is filed under the name uncultured bacterium. RNAcentral's name for it is "partial 16S ribosomal RNA". It matches the Rfam family "Bacterial small subunit ribosomal RNA", at positions 523 to 918 of the family's 1533-position model. The record is from RNAcentral.
AUACGGAGGAUGCGAGCGUUAUCCGGAUUUAUUGGGUUUAAAGGGUGCGCAGGCGGGCGAUUAAGUCAGCGGUGAAAGGCUCGGGCUCAACCGGAGCAGUGCCGUUGAUACUGGUUGUCUUGAAUGCGGUCAAGGCCGGCGGAAUGUGGCGUGUAGCGGUGAAAUGCAUAGAUAUGCCACAGAACACCGAUAGCGAAGGCAGCUGGCCGGGCCUGCAGUGACGCUGAGGCACGAAAGCGUGGGGAUCGAACAGGAUUAGAUACCCUGGUAGUCCACGCUGUAAACGAUGGACACUCGUUGUCGGCGACAGACAGUCGGCGGCCAAGCGAAAGUGAUAAGUGUCCCACCUGGGGAGUACGGUCGCAAGGCUGAAACUCAAAUGAAUUGACGGGG